Molecule: ribosomal RNA, 252 nt
Filed under: uncultured bacterium
Lineage: Bacteria
Description: partial 16S ribosomal RNA
Rfam family: Bacterial small subunit ribosomal RNA
Source: RNAcentral
UACGUAGGGGGCUAGCGUUAUCCGGAAUUACUGGGCGUAAAGGGUGCGUAGGUGGGUUCUUAAGUCAGAAGUGAAAGGCUACGGCUCAACCGUAGUAAGCUUUUGAAACUGAGAAACUUGAGUGCAGGAGAGGAGAGUAGAAUUCCUAGUGUAGCGGUGAAAUGCGUAGAUAUUAGGAGGAAUACCAGUAGCGCAGGUGGCUCUCUGGACUGUAAUUGACCCUCGGGCACGAAAGCGUGGGGAGCAAACAGG